This 380-nucleotide ribosomal RNA is filed under the name uncultured eukaryote. RNAcentral's name for it is "partial 18S ribosomal RNA". It matches the Rfam family "Eukaryotic small subunit ribosomal RNA", at positions 592 to 976 of the family's 1831-position model. The record is from RNAcentral.
CAAUAGCGUAUAUUAAAGUUGUUGCAGUUAAAAAGCUCGUAGUUGGAUUUGUGGCGUACGGUGGGUUCCGGGCACUUGUUGUCUGAGUAACUUGCUGUUGCCAUCCUUGGGUGGAACCUGUGUGGCAUUAGGUUGUCGUGCAGGGGAUGCCCAUCAUUUACUGUGAAAAAAUUAGAGUGUUCAAAGCAGGCUUAUGCCGUUGAAUAUAUUAGCAUGGAAUAAUGAGAUAGGACUUUUUUGCUAUUUUGUUGGUUUGCGCAAAGAGGUAAUGAUUAAUAGGGACAGUUGGGGGUAUUCGUAUUCCAUUGUCAGAGGUGACAUUCUUGGAUUUUUGGAAGACGAACUACUGCGAAAGCAUUUACCAAGGAUGUUUUCAUUAA